This is a microRNA precursor of Oryza rufipogon (brownbeard rice), 191 nucleotides long. It matches the Rfam family "MIR812 microRNA precursor family". The record is from Rfam. Lineage: Eukaryota; Viridiplantae; Streptophyta; Magnoliopsida; Poales; Poaceae.
AAAAAGACAAACCCUGGGUUUCCGUGUCCAACUUUGACUGUCCGUCUUAUAUAAAAUUUUUUUAUAAUUCGUAUUUUCAUUGUUGUUAGAUGAUAAAACAUGAUUAAUAUUUUAUGCGUGACUUGUCUUUUUAAUUUUUUUUAUAAUUUUUUAAAAUAAGAUGGACGGUUAAACGUUUGGCACGGUUUAUC